Molecule: ribosomal RNA, 503 nt
Filed under: uncultured bacterium
Lineage: Bacteria
Description: partial 16S ribosomal RNA
Rfam family: Bacterial small subunit ribosomal RNA
Source: RNAcentral
AUUGAACGCUGGCGGCAGGCUUAACACAUGCAAGUCGAGCGGGGUGAUGGUGCUUGCACUAUCACUUAGCGGCAGACGGGUGAGUAAUGCUUAGGAAUCUGCCUAUUAGUGGGGGACAACAUCUCGAAAGGGAUGCUAAUACCGCAUACGUCCUACGAGAGAAAGCAGGGGAUCACUUGUGACCUUGCGCUAAUAGAUGAGCCUAAGUCGGAUUAGCUAGUUGGUGGGGUAAAGGCCUACCAAGGCGACGAUCUGUAGCGGGUCUGAGAGGAUGAUCCGCCACACUGGGACUGAGACACGGCCCAGACUCCUACGGGAGGCAGCAGUGGGGAAUAUAGGACAAUGGGGGGAACCCUGAUCCAGCCAUGCCGCGUGUGUGAAGAAGGCCUUAUGGUUGUAAAGCACUUUAAGCGAGGAGGAGGCUCUUUUGGUUAAUACCCAAGAUGAGUGGACGUUACUCGCAGAAUAAGCACCGGCUAACUCUGUGCCAGCCGCCGCGGUAA